GUGCCAGCCGCCGCGGUAAUACAGAGGGUGCAAGCGUUGUCCGGAAUCACUGGGCGUAAAGGGCGCGUAGGCGGCUGGGUAAGUCGGUGGUGAAAUCCCGUGGCUCAACUGCGGGGCUGCCGUCGAGACUGCUCGGCUUGAGCGCGGUAGAGGCUGGUGGAAUUCCCGGUGUAGCGGUGGAAUGCGUAGAGAUCGGGAGGAACAUCGGUGGCGAAGGCGGCCAGCUGGGCCGUUGCUGACGCUGAGGCGCGAAAGCGUGGGGAGCAAACAGGAUUAGAAACCCUUGUAGUCC
Molecule: ribosomal RNA, 292 nt
Filed under: uncultured bacterium
Lineage: Bacteria
Description: partial 16S ribosomal RNA
Rfam family: Bacterial small subunit ribosomal RNA
Source: RNAcentral